AUGCCGUAAUAAAGAUAACGUCUGAAUUGGUCAGGACCGGAAGGUAGCAGCUAUAAGGAUCUGUGUCUUGUAUUGCGGUUUUUU
RNAcentral lists this signal recognition particle RNA (84 nucleotides) under Mesoplasma syrphidae. Its description in RNAcentral is "Bacterial small signal recognition particle RNA". It matches the Rfam family "Bacterial small signal recognition particle RNA". From Rfam's summary of the family: The signal recognition particle (SRP) is a universally conserved ribonucleoprotein involved in the co-translational targeting of proteins to membranes. Archaeal SRP consists of a 7S RNA and homologues of the eukaryotic SRP19 and SRP54 proteins. Lineage: Bacteria; Bacillati; Mycoplasmatota; Mollicutes; Entomoplasmatales; Entomoplasmataceae. The record is from Rfam by way of RNAcentral.